UGGUGUGUGUGUGUGUGUGGCAGAGGGCAGCCACGUUUGCUGUCACUCAGUCAGAAUGCGCAGUCAUCCAACUACCAUUUUCGAAUCUGUCGGUAAAUAAAGCAGACUAUAUUGAUACAAGUCACCUUGUCUGAGAGAGAUUUACAUGGUUAUCCAAACGUCACGCCAGGCACUUCCAUGUCAUUCUUGACAACAAGGAUGGGAUGCUGACCUUCAUCUGCUGACUGCUCCUGAGGACCUGGGUAAACUGUGCACAGGAGUAACCCCCAUUGGGUACUCAGGGCAAACCACACUCCAAGAGUGAGCAGAUGGAACCCGCCUAAGAUCCAAGUAGGACGCAUCAGCAGGUUACAGCAUCCUGAACAUAGACAUAGACUAUAGAGGUGAGAAUGUUUUUUUUUUCUUGAAAGCAAUUAUUUCUGUAAAAGCCAGUAGCAACUGGUGGGCCUUAGGCAACAAGACUAGUGUGGGAGGCUAUGAGGAGCACCCUCAAUUAGGUGAGCCUGGUGACCGGCAACCACACUCCAAGAGUGAGCAGAUGGAACCCGCCUAAGAUCCAAGUAGGACGCAUCAGCAGGUGUAUACAGCAUCCUGAACAUAGACUAUAGAGAUUGGGUCUGCUGGAUGGUUGAGAUUUCUCCCUAAGAAUUAGCCAUCUACCUCCCUGACCCUGUAACUCUGCGGCGAGGUCAUCGAUAUGAUGGGAGAGUAUAAGCCAAUUAGAUACAAUUAUUUCAACUAUGUGUUAUUCUCUAUGACAUGUUUCUUAGAAGUUGUAUUAAUACUAUUGGUAGAAGUAAUAAUUUGUCAUACAGUAAAUAUUUUGUCUGGAUUUCCUGAGACAGAAAUGCCCUAAACUGUUCUGAUCUGUCUUGUCUUGGGGUUAUGCUGAAGGUGACCACAGAUGGUAUCUAGAUACAUGGACAAUUUGACCAGACAGUGUGGACCUCAUACCUCCUCUGACUGGCUGAAGUAAUGGUUAAAAUCGCAUUCAGUAUGGUCCUUCACUACUUUUACAAUGAGACCUGAGUCCGAGCCAGCACCUGUACACAGCAUCCAGUCGACGCUAUCAACUGCCUUUUCUCUCAGGAGAGUGACAGGAGUCCACGUGGAGUGAGCAUGGAGAGAGAUCCAUUCCAAACGUCUCAUGUUGCUGGUAUACUGCUUGGCAAAUGGACAAGACAUAAGGGGUGGUAAAAGGUGGAUCCGGCCCAGGUGAGACAUCAGUCUGUUUGGGGAAACUCUGAUUAUUCCUCAGACAUUGGGAGAUUAUUAUAGCCCAUCCACUUUGAAUAUGUGCCAUUGGGAAGUCAAACUUUAAAGCUGAAAAUGAAGAAAGAUUGAGUGCCAGGGAGGGGGGUGGUCAACUGUGCCCGUAAUUGAUUAGGCUUGUCCAAAAUUGUUACUUGGGGUAUCGGGUUGAUUGUGGAGGUCUACACAGUGUGAAAUGUAUAGUAAAUUACACUAAGAAUGCAUUGCGAUACUGAUCUGUAAUUAUAACCGUGAUGAGAAAGUUAAUGCUAGAAUUAUGGAUAAUUACACUGUAUUUGAAUGUAAAUGUACAUUCUGCUAGUGCCGAUGUGUGCUAGGUUGAGGGUUUCAACUUUGAGUGAUAGAACCAACGUGAAUCACUGAGCAAUGUCAUUCUAAAUUUGGGUUGAAUAAUAAUGGAUGUUAUGGUAUGUUAUGCAAAAUAGGUCAACUUUUUUUUACCCCUUUUUUGUGGUAUUCAAUUGUUUAGUCGCUACUAUCUUUCCCUACCGGCCAAAUCCUCCCUAACCCGGACGACACUAGGCCAAUUGUGCGUCGCCCCACAGACCUCCCGGUCGCGGCCGGUUACAACAGAGCCUGGGCGCGAACCCAGGGGUCCCUGAUGGCACAGCUGGCACUGCAGUACAGCUGGCGUCCUUAACCACUGCGCCACCCAGGAAGUAAUGGUUAAAAUAGGUCAACUUUGAGCACCUUAAUCUUUUGUUUUGGCAAAAAAAAUCAAAAGUCACUUUCUGAGCACUUCUACCAUGGGCAAACAUGUAUGGGAAGUUUUGUUUAAAUCAAAAGAGGUGCCGUCAAAAAGUGAUUGAAUUCAAAUGGAUUUACCCUACCUCAACAAAAGGCCAAUUUACUCUUGUGUCCUGACUGCUAUCACCAGAGGACACUGUGUUACUUGUUUGCAUACAUUUACCAUUGGACUGACAAAAGUUAUUAUUCAAGUUGCCAUGUCCAUGAAACUCAGUUGUAUAUUCAUUAUUGUAAUCUAAUUCCUGUUAAUUUUUUGUACAAAUAACAUCCCUGGUUAAUUCUAGGAAUUUAGAAUCUGUCAUAAUGCUUCAAGAUAUAGAGCAGGGGGCCUCCCGAGUGGCGCAGCUGUCUUGUGACACAUCGCAGUGCUAGAGGGAUCACUCCAGAUCCGGGUUUGAUCCCGGGCUGUGUAGCAGCUGGGGAGACCCAUGAGGUGGCGCACAAUUGGCCAAGCGUUGUUUGGGUUAGAGGAGUGUUAGGCGGCUGGGAUGUCCUUGUCCCAUCGGGCUCUAGUGACUCCUUGUGGUGGCUGGGCGCCUGCAUGCUGGCUUUGGUCGCCAGCUGUAUGGCGUUUCCUCUGACACAUUGGUGCAGUUGGCUUCCAGGUUAAGCGAGCAAUGUGUCAAGAACCUGUGCUGCUUGGCGGGGUCGUGUUUUGGAGGACGCAUGGCUCUCGACCUUCGCCUCUCCCGAGUCCGUAUGGAAGUUGCAGCAAUGGGACAAGACUGUAACUACCAAUUGGGGAGAA
This is a long non-coding RNA of Oncorhynchus keta (chum salmon), 2767 nucleotides long. RefSeq lists it as uncharacterized. Lineage: Eukaryota; Metazoa; Chordata; Actinopteri; Salmoniformes; Salmonidae. The record is from RefSeq and is a predicted model, not a curated record. The transcript is spliced from 3 exons.